UUUUCUAAAUAUUAAUUGACAGGAACAGCUUCAAGCGUUUGAUGCUACUGGAUUCAUUUCUCUGCUAGCGUCAGAAUACUUUAAGAGAAAAAGAACCGAGUCUCCUCCAUCUGUUUCUUCCCUCAGCCCCUGGGGCAGCACGUGCUCUGAGUCAGUGCUUAAUAAAGGUGAAUUGAGAAAACAAAGGACUGAACUGAUGGUAAGGUGUACAAGGUGAUGAUUUGAUCCACAAUUUGAUACAUGGAUACAUUGCAAAACGAUGACCACAAGAUGAAGGCUAGCAGCCCGACUUUUAAGUGAACAUGCCCAAACAUGUACUCUCUGAAUGAGUACCGUCUCUACUAUGGCAUCCUCCUG
Molecule: long non-coding RNA, 357 nt
Filed under: Mustela putorius furo (domestic ferret)
Lineage: Eukaryota; Metazoa; Chordata; Mammalia; Carnivora; Mustelidae
Description: lncRNA (ENSMPUG00000026279.1)
Source: RNAcentral